GACGAACGCUGGCGGCGUGCUUAACACAUGCAAGUCGAACGGAAAGGCCCUGCUUUUGUGGGGUGCUCGUGUGGCGAACGGGUGAGUAACACGUGAGUAACCUGCCCUUGACUUUGGGAUAACUUCAGGAAACUGGGGCUAAUACCGGAUAGGAGCUCCUGCUGCAUGGUGGGGGUUGGAAAGUUUCGGCGGUUGGGGAUGGACUCGCGGCUUAUCAGCUUGUUGGUGGGGUAGUGGCUUACCAAGGCUUUGACGGGUAGCCGGCCUGAGAGGGUGACCGGCCACAUUGGGACUGAGAUACGGCCCAGACUCCUACGGGAGGCAGCAGUGGGGAAUAUUGCACAAUGGGCGGAAGCCUGAUGCAGCAACGCCGCGUGCGGGAUGACGGCCUUCGGGUUGUAAACCGCUUUCGCCUGUGACGAAGCGUGAGUGACGGUAAUGGGUAAAGAAGCACCGGCUAACUACGUGCCAGCAGCCGCGGUGAUACGUAGGGUGCGAGCGUUGUCCGGAUUUAUUGGGCGUAAAGGGCUCGUAGGUGGUUGAUCGCGUCGGAAGUGUAAUCUUGGGGCUUAACCCUGAGCGUGCUUUCGAUACGGGUUGACUUGAGGAAGGUAGGGGAGAAUGGAAUUCCUGGUGGAGCGGUGGAAUGCGCAGAUAUCAGGAGGAACACCAGUGGCGAAGGCGGUUCUCUGGGCCUUUCCUGACGCUGAGGAGCGAAAGCGUGGGGAGCGAACAGGCUUAGAUACCCUGGUAGUCCACGCUGUAAACGGUGGGUACUAGGUGUGGGGUCCAUUCCACGGGUUCCGUGCCGUAGCUAACGCUUUAAGUACCCCGCCUGGGGAGUACGGCCGCAAGGCUAAAACUCAAAGGAAUUGACGGGGCCCCGCACAAGCGGCGGAGCAUGCGGAUUAAUUCGAUGCAACGCGUAGAACCUUACCUGGGUUUGACAUGGAUCGGGAGUGCUCAGAGAUGGGUGUGCCUCUUUUGGGGUCGGUUCACAGGUGGUGCAUGGCUGUCGUCAGCUCGUGUCGUGAGAUGUUGGGUUAAGUCCCGCAACGAGCGCAACCCUUGUUCACUGUUGCCAGCACGUUAUGGUGGGGACUCAGUGGAGACCGCCGGGGUCAACUCGGAGGAAGGUGGGGAUGACGUCAAGUCAUCAUGCCCCUUAUGUCCAGGGCUUCACGCAUGCUACAAUGGCUGGUACAGAGAGUGGCGAGCCUGUGAGGGUGAGCGAAUCCCGGAAAGCCGGUCUCAGUUCGGAUUGGGGUCUGCAACUCGACCUCAUGAAGUCGGAGUCGCUAGUAAUCGCAGAUCAGCAACGCUGCGGUGAAUACGUUCCCGGG
This 1343-nucleotide ribosomal RNA is filed under the name uncultured bacterium. RNAcentral describes it as "16S ribosomal RNA". It matches the Rfam family "Bacterial small subunit ribosomal RNA", at positions 28 to 1378 of the family's 1533-position model. The record is from RNAcentral.